Potamilus streckersoni is the source of this 80-nucleotide non-coding RNA. The record is from the annotation of a GenBank genome assembly. NCBI's taxonomy places the organism in Eukaryota, Metazoa, Mollusca, Bivalvia, Unionida, Unionidae.
UGUAUGAUGACCUUAACGAUUAGAGCGUCCGCCUCAGAUGCGCAAGGUCGCGGGUUCGAACCCCGGGUGAGUCAUAUUAA